CCUACGGGCGGCAGCAGUGAGGAAUAUUGGUCAAUGGUCGGGAGACUGAACCAGUCAAGCCGCGUGAGGGAGGAAGGUACAGAGUAUCGUAAACCUCUUUUGUCAGGGAACAAAGACUGGGACGCGUCCCCGGAUGAGUGUACCUGAAGAAAAAGCAUCGGCUAACUCCGGGCCAGCAGCCGCGGUAAUACGGAGGAUGCGAGCGUUAACCGGAUUUAGUGGGGUUAAAGGGUGGGUAGGCGGGACGGUAAGUCCGCGGUUAAAGCCCAGGGGUUAAACCCGGCCCGCCCGUUGAAACUGGCAGUCUCGAGUUGGUGAGAGGUAGGCGGAAUGCGAGGUGUAGCGGUGAAAUGCAUAGAGAUCGCGCAGAACUCCGAUUGCGAAGGCAGCAUGCCGGCUCCACACUGACGCUGAGGCACGAAAGCGUGGGUAUCGAACAGGAUUAGAUACCCCGGUAGUC
Molecule: ribosomal RNA, 460 nt
Filed under: uncultured bacterium
Lineage: Bacteria
Description: partial 16S ribosomal RNA
Rfam family: Bacterial small subunit ribosomal RNA
Source: RNAcentral